RNAcentral lists this ribosomal RNA (497 nucleotides) under uncultured bacterium. RNAcentral describes it as "partial 16S ribosomal RNA". It matches the Rfam family "Bacterial small subunit ribosomal RNA", at positions 28 to 507 of the family's 1533-position model. The record is from RNAcentral.
GACGAACGCUGGCGGCGUGCCUAGUACAUGCAAGUUGAGCGCUGAAGGUUGGUACUUGUACCAACUGGAUGAGCAGCGAACGGGUGAGUAACGCGUGGGGAAUCUGCCUUUGAGCGGGGGGCAACAUUUGGAAACGAAUGCUAAUACCGCAUAAAAACUUUAAACACAAGUUUUAAGUUUGAAAGAUGCAAUUGCAUCACUCAAAGAUGAUCCCGCGUUGUAUUAGCUAGUUGGUGAGGUAAAGGCUCACCAAGGCGAUGAUACAUAGCCGACCUGAGAGGGUGAUCGGCCACAUUGGGACUGAGACACGGCCCAAACUCCUACGGGAGGCAGCAGUAGGGAAUCUUCGGCAAUGGACGAAAGUCUGACCGAGCAACGCCGCGUGAGUGAAGAAGGUUUUCGGAUCGUAAAACUCUGUUGGUAGAGAAGAACGUUGGUGAGAGUGGAAAGCUCAUCAAGUGACGGUAACUACCCAGAAAGGGACGGCUAACUACGUG